GAGCAAAGUCGUCUAGUUUUAAUGACGUAACAUUUGCAUUGAAGGUUGGCUAUAUCAAUAAGCGAUUCUCCGUGCCUAUCAAAAUCUCAAUUUUGAAUACGGCCUCGAACAAGUCGACACAUU
Molecule: small nucleolar RNA, 123 nt
Organism: Papaver somniferum (opium poppy)
Lineage: Eukaryota; Viridiplantae; Streptophyta; Magnoliopsida; Ranunculales; Papaveraceae
Source: RefSeq, a predicted model, not a curated record